UGAAUGCACUAACUGUAAGUUGCUCUGGAUCAGAGCAUCUGCUAAAUGACUAAAA
Molecule: non-coding RNA, 55 nt
Organism: Salmo salar (Atlantic salmon)
Lineage: Eukaryota; Metazoa; Chordata; Actinopteri; Salmoniformes; Salmonidae
Source: Rfam